RNA transcript from Papaver somniferum (opium poppy), 1027 nucleotides. RefSeq lists it as uncharacterized. The transcript has 6 exons. Lineage: Eukaryota; Viridiplantae; Streptophyta; Magnoliopsida; Ranunculales; Papaveraceae. The record is from RefSeq and is a predicted model, not a curated record.
CUUUUUGCGAUCGUCUCUGCUUCUGUAUUCUCUCGGUUUUGGCUGAUGCUUGCAGGGUUUCUUUAUGUUGUGUUUUAGGAGGCAAUGUCGAAUCAGAACGACGAUGAAGAGGAAUAGCAGGAAAAAGGGUUGCAGUUUUGUCAAAGAAGCUGGGACUUGAUAAAAUUUGUCCAAAAUUUUACUUCCAUGCUUUUGGUCAUACAAGCAAGAAGGGUGAUGGCUAAGUUGGAAACUUCUACGAAAUUCAUAAAUGUUGUGGUUGUUGCUUUCCCAUUGGUGGUACCUUUUAUGAGCUCCACUUCAAGGAAAAUGACGUGUACAAUGAGAGGUGGCAGACUUCAUGGAUUAUCCCUGCCUUCUGACAUGCCUUAUUGUUCUCCAUUUUGUGUGUCAUAUGUGCACUUUGGGCACCAUCACAGUUUUCAACAGCGGUUUGUUACAUCAAAGAUAGCUUCCUGUGCUCAAGGUCAAGGGCCAUAUAAUGGAGUCUUUGCACAAUUGCAUCAAACCAUUGCCUUGGCAGAGAGAUGUAAGUGCCUUUCGGGAUGCAUUCCAUCUGUUAAGUUAUAGUACUGUGAUUUUAUAUGGAAGCUCUUUAGUUUUCUGUGUAUCAGUAGAGUUAACUAAAGUACUUUGUACUUACCACCCAAUAUCGUGACUGAACAAGUGAGAUGUAUGGGACUACAUUUUUUAGUCAGUAUUUGCAAAAUAUCACACCAAACUAGAUAAUCUUAAUCACCUUAUUCUUCGUGAGAGUUCGUGACUACGGUUUCCAAAUGGAACACCGAGAUCAAGCCUCUUGCUAAAGUAUCUAACAGUGGUUAUAGUGUGAACAUCACCCUGUAUGGUGAUAAAUCAAUCAAUGUGCUCAGUCGUAGUCGUUGUUACUGGGACUAAGAUUGUUAAGCCAAUGAAAGAGUAAGAGGCAUAGCCAAGGCACAACCUCACAGAGCUGUGUAUGACUACUCGAGAAUCUUCACUCACAUCAUGUAAAGCGUAACUCUCAAUUUAGAUAGAACUGAAAAUG